Molecule: ribosomal RNA, 818 nt
Filed under: uncultured bacterium
Lineage: Bacteria
Description: bacterial SSU rRNA
Rfam family: Bacterial small subunit ribosomal RNA
Source: RNAcentral
AGAGUUUGAUCAUGGCUCAGAUUGAACGCUGGCGGCAGGCCUAAUACAUGCAAGUCGAGCGGUAGCACAGGAGAGCUUGCUCUCUGGGUGACGAGCGGCGGACGGGUGAGUAAUGUCUGGGAAACUGCCUGAUGGAGGAGGAUAACUACUGGAAACGGUAGCUAAUACCGCAUGACCUCGCAAGAGCAAAGUGGGGGACCUUCGGGCCUCACGCCAUCGGACGUGCCCAGAUGGGAUUAGCUAGUAGGUGGGGUAAUGGCUCACCUAGGCGACGAUCCCUAGCUGGUCUGAGAGGAUGACCAGCCACACUGGAACUGAGACACGGUCCAGACUCCUACGGGAGGCAGCAGUGGGGAAUAUUGCACAAUGGGCGCAAGCCUGAUGCAGCCAUGCCGCGUGUGUGAAGAAGGCCUUAGGGUUGUAAAGCACUUUCAGCGAGGAGGAAGGCGUUGCAGUUAAUAGCUGCAGCGAUUGACGUUACUCGCAGAAGAAGCACCGGCUAACUCCGUGCCAGCAGCCGCGGUAAUACGGAGGGUGCAAGCGUUAAUCGGAAUUACUGGGCGUAAAGCGCACGCAGGCGGUUUGUUAAGUCAGAUGUGAAAUCCCCGAGCUUAACUUGGGAACUGCAUUUGAAACUGGCAAGCUAGAGUCUUGUAGAGGGGGGUAGAAUUCCAGGUGUAGCGGUGAGAUGCGUAGAGAUCUGGAGGAAUACCGGUGGCGAAAGCGGCCCCCUGGACAAGACUGACGCUCAGUGCGAAAGCGUGGGGAGCAAACAGAUUAGAUACCCUGGUAGUCCACGCUGUAAACGAUGUCGACUU